UGUAUUGGACUACCAUGGCUUUCACGGGUAACGGAGGAUUAGGGUUCGAUUCCGGAGAGGGAGCCUGAGAAACGGCUACCACAUCUAAGGAAGGCAGCAGGCGCGUAAAUUACCCAAUCCUGACUCAGGGAGGUAGUGACAAGAAAUAACGGGUCGGGGCAUUUGCCUCGGGAUUGCAAUGAAUCGAAUUUACACCCCUUAAUGAGGAUCAAUUGGAGGGCAAGUCUGGUGCCAGCAGCCGCGGUAAUUCCAGCUCCAAUAGCGUAUAUUAAAGUUGUUGCAGUUAAAAAGCUCGUAGUUUGAUUUCUGGACGGGCGCUGACACCCGCUUGUUAGUGAGGAGGAGGCGCCCGCCCAUCCUUCUGUUAACGCCAUCGGCAUUCAUUUGCUGGCGGCGGGCUCAGAUAUUUUACCUUGAGAAAAUUAGAGUGUUUCAGGCAGGCUUGCGCCUAGAUACAUUAGCAUGGAAUAAUAGAAUAGGACUUUGGCCUCUUCUGUUGGUCUGAGGGGUUAGAGUAAUGAUUAAUAGGGAUAGUUGGGGGCAUUAGUACUUAACUGCUAGAGGUGAAAUUCUCAGAUUUGUUAAAGACUAACUUAUGCGAAAGCAUUUGCCAAGGAUGUUUUCA
Molecule: ribosomal RNA, 625 nt
Filed under: uncultured marine ciliate
Lineage: Eukaryota; Ciliophora
Description: SSU rRNA
Rfam family: Eukaryotic small subunit ribosomal RNA
Source: RNAcentral